RNAcentral lists this long non-coding RNA (2208 nucleotides) under Piliocolobus tephrosceles (Ugandan red Colobus). Its description in RNAcentral is "lncRNA (ENSPTEG00000011240.1)". The record is from RNAcentral. Lineage: Eukaryota; Metazoa; Chordata; Mammalia; Primates; Cercopithecidae.
GAAGAAACAAAACAUAGCUUCUCUGUAGAUACUAAUGACGAGGACGAAGAAAAUAAUAACAAUAGUUAUAAUAAAGAUGACCAAUUACCAAAAAGAAAAAAAAAAGAAAUUGAAAGUUGUAAUAACAUAUGGGACGUAAAACUAGGAAACAUAAUGGACCAAAAAAAAGUUGAAAAGGCAAAAAUUGAUAAAGCAAAAAUUGAUAAGGAAAAAAUUGAUAAGGCAAAAAUUGAUAAGGCAAAAAUUGAUAAAGCAAAAAUUGAUAAGGCAAAAAUUGAUAAGGCAAAAAUUGAUAAGGAAAAAAUUGAUAAGGCAAAAAUUGAUAAGGCAAAAAUUGAUAAGGAAAAAAUUGAUAAGGAAAAAAUUGAUAAGGCAAAAGAUGACAAGGAAAAAGAUGACAAAGCAAAAGAUGAUAAGACUAAAAUAGAUCAACCUCAAAUAAAAAAAUCCAAGAGUAUGCAUUUUUUAAAUGAAAAAAAUUAUGAUAAGCAUUAUAACUUAUCAAAGGGUUAUAACACUUUUGAAGCAAAUGAAAAAAAUAAUAACUUUUAUGAAAAAAAUAAAAUGAAACAAUCAAACGGACAUUUAAAAUUCUCUAAAAGUGUUAUGGGUAGUAGAAAUACAAAUGAUAGUGAAGAAGACAAUGAUGGCGACAGUAUACCAAAAAAUAAUUUUAUAUUUAUAAAGAAGAGCAAUAAACAGGAAAAUUAUUUUAAUUACAGCUAUAAUAAUGACAUUGAUAGUAGAAAUGGUAACGAUAAUUUGAAUACAAAUUUAAAUAACACAACACAUGAAAAUAAAAAUGUUAAUAAUAGUGGGAACUUAAAUGGAGUCACAAACAAUGUGUCUAGCUAUUCAAACUAUGAAAAUUUUAUUUUCGAAAAAAAUUCAAACAAUUAUUCUAACGGUAUAAACAAUGACGGUAGUUAUAACUUCGCAAAUUAUAACAACAAUACUACCAAUAGCGACGACAUAAUUAAUGGUAAUAAUGAUGAUAAAACAAAAAAUAACGGUACGAAAAACUCCUUUUCUUAUGAAGGACAUAAAACAAAUAUGGAAACACAAAGUUCAAAUAACAAUUUAGAUAAAAACAAUUUUAUAAAUGAAAAUUCAUUUUUUAAUAAAAAAACUAGUUUCAAUGAUAAUAUAAUAUUUUCAAAUAAACAAGAGAAAAAUGAUUAUUACAAAAACAGAAUAAAAGAUUUAAACAACGUUAAUCAUACAAAUGGUGACAAUAAUAUAAAUGGUAAUCUUAUAAAUAAUAAAAACGACAUUGGAAAUAUUAAUGACAACAUGCAAAGCAAUAUUAAUAGUAAUGGUUCUAAUCCAAUUUUUGUCAACCCUAAUUUGGUUAACUCUAACUUAACCAAACCAAAGAACAACUUGAAUAAUAACAAUAAUGACAUAAAUUAUGAGCCAAAUUAUGAGCCAAAUUAUGAACCAAAUUUCGAGCCAAAUUUCGAGCCAAAUUUUGAGCCAAAUUUUGAGCCAAAAUUCGAGCCAAACUUUGAGCCAAACUUUGAGCCAAACUUUGAAUCAAAUUAUGAACAAAAUUCUGAGCCAACGUGUGAGGAAAAUUAUGAUGCAAAUUAUGAACCAAAUUAUAAACCAAAUUAUGAACCAAAUUAUGAACCAAAUUAUAAACCAAAUUAUGAACCAAAUUAUGAACCAAAUUAUGAACCAAAUUAUGAACCAAAUUAUGAACCAAAUUAUGAACCAAAUUUUGAGCCAGAUUAUGAAUCAAAGUUUCUAAGGGAUCAUGUAAAUGUAAGUGAAAAGAAUACAGAAGAUACACAAUACGUAAAAAAUGGUGUAUAUAUAAACAAUAGUAGCAAUUUUAUAAACUUGGGAUUUAUAAAUAGAAAAGAUCAGUCUUAUAAACCCAAUGGUAAUUUUAAUGAUGAAUACAUAAAUAAUGAUAAACAAAAUAAUAAAUUAGAUGGAAACAAUACUAUACAGACAGAACACAUUAUAAAUUCGUUAAAGUUUGGUAACAAUAAUAAUAGUAUGAAACAAAAUACAUAUAAAAGUAAUAUCUACAACAAUAUGGGUACUACUGGUAGUUCCAAUGUAGGAAAUUUAAAUACUUUUUACCAAGAAAAAUUGAUGAAAAAAAAAAUUAAUUUAUCUUAAAAUAUAUAUAUAUAUAUAUAUAUAUUUAGGAUAAAGCUAAAUAAAAGAAAAGGUGGGGAAAAAUAUGUACUUAAU